UACGUAGGGGGCUAGCGUUGUCCGGAAUCACUGGGCGUAAAGGGUGCGUAGGCGGGUCUUUAAGUCAGGGGUGAAAUCCUGGAGCUCAACUCCAGAACUGCCUUUGAUACUGAGGAUCUUGAGUUCGGGAGAGGUGAGUGGAACUGCGAGUGUAGAGGUGAAAUUCGUAGAUAUUCGCAAGAACACCAGUGGCGAAGGCGGCUCACUGGCCCGAUACUGACGCUGAGGCACGAAAGCGUGGGGAGCAAACAGG
RNAcentral lists this ribosomal RNA (253 nucleotides) under uncultured bacterium. RNAcentral's name for it is "partial 16S ribosomal RNA". It matches the Rfam family "Bacterial small subunit ribosomal RNA", at positions 524 to 776 of the family's 1533-position model. The record is from RNAcentral.